CUUGGCUGUAUACUGUCAUGCCUAAAUAAUCCUACAACUAAAAAUUUUAAGGGCUUUCACCCAAAAUUGCUAGACAGAACUUCCUCUUUAAUUUGUCACUCGCCUUUUACUUUAUGAUGAACCGCCUCUUACCUAAAAACUGUCAACAAGAGCAAAGACUGGUAAAUUGAGAAUCAAAGGAUGGAGAUAGAUGUUAAAAUCGGUCAUCCUAACUUCUUAUGAUGAUGCAUCAAGCAAAUGACUUGCUGGACUGCGUGCUCAGCAAUGCUGCAUAGAGGCAGAAAUUCAGUGUCCAGAUGUUUCAGAAUCCAGAUGGCCUAUGAAUCCUCUAUCACCCAGAAAGGAGGAAAAUGUGCAUGAAAGUGGAACAUUGAAAAGAAAAGAAAUAAUUUAGCAUUGGUGAGGUAAUGGCAACACACAGGGCUCAAAGAAAAUCUUCUGUUCUGAAAGAAGCAACUUAAUAAAAUGCAUGUUAUAGGCUCUACCAGCAAGCUAAAUUUUCAGCCUUGCCUCUUCUUUCUAUCACCAUUAAGAGGCUUGCAGAGAUCCACACUGUUUAAAGGGCAGACAGCAUGGAAGAACUAUCAUGUACAAUUUAAAGUAGCAGCUAAAAUUGGAAUGGUCACAAGA
Molecule: long non-coding RNA, 630 nt
Organism: Manis javanica (Malayan pangolin)
Lineage: Eukaryota; Metazoa; Chordata; Mammalia; Pholidota; Manidae
Source: RefSeq, a predicted model, not a curated record